This 711-nucleotide ribosomal RNA is filed under the name Staphylococcus aureus. RNAcentral describes it as "partial 23S ribosomal RNA". It matches the Rfam family "Bacterial large subunit ribosomal RNA", at positions 1487 to 2195 of the family's 2925-position model. The record is from RNAcentral. Lineage: Bacteria; Bacillati; Bacillota; Bacilli; Caryophanales; Staphylococcaceae.
CGAAGCGUGCGAUUGGAUUGCACGUCUAAGCAGUAAGGCUGAGUAUUAGGCAAAUCCGGUACUCGUUAAGGCUGAGCUGUGAUGGGGAGAAGACAUUGUGUCUUCGAGUCGUUGAUUUCACACUGCCGAGAAAAGCCUCUAGAUAGAAAAUAGGUGCCCGUACCGCAAACCGACACAGGUAGUCAAGAUGAGAAUUCUAAGGUGAGCGAGCGAACUCUCGUUAAGGAACUCGGCAAAAUGACCCCGUAACUUCGGGAGAAGGGGUGCUCUUUAGGGUUAACGCCCAGAAGAGCCGCAGUGAAUAGGCCCAAGCGACUGUUUAUCAAAAACACAGGUCUCUGCUAAACCGUAAGGUGAUGUAUAGGGGCUGACGCCUGCCCGGUGCUGGAAGGUUAAGAGGAGUGGUUAGCUUCUGCGAAGCUACGAAUCGAAGCCCCAGUAAACGGCGGCCGUAACUAUAACGGUCCUAAGGUAGCGAAAUUCCUUGUCGGGUAAGUUCCGACCCGCACGAAAGGCGUAACGAUUUGGGCACUGUCUCAACGAGAGACUCGGUGAAAUCAUAGUACCUGUGAAGAUGCAGGUUACCCGCGACAGGACGGAAAGACCCCGUGGAGCUUUACUGUAGCCUGAUAUUGAAAUUCGGCACAGCUUGUACAGGAUAGGUAGGAGCCUUUGAAACGUGAGCGCUAGCUUACGUGGAGGCGCUGGUGG